RNAcentral lists this transfer RNA (77 nucleotides) under Candidatus Omnitrophota bacterium. Its description in RNAcentral is "Candidatus Omnitrophica bacterium (groundwater metagenome) tRNA-Val". It matches the Rfam family "tRNA". Rfam says of the family: Transfer RNA (tRNA) molecules are approximately 80 nucleotides in length. Their secondary structure includes four short double-helical elements and three loops (D, anti-codon, and T loops). Further hydrogen bonds mediate the characteristic L-shaped molecular structure. tRNAs have two regions of fundamental functional importance: the anti-codon, which is responsible for specific mRNA codon recognition, and the 3' end, to which the tRNAs corresponding amino acid is attached (by aminoacyl-tRNA synthetases). tRNAs cope with the degeneracy of the genetic code in two manners: having more than one tRNA (with a specific anti-codon) for a particular amino acid; and 'wobble' base-pairing, i.e. permitting non-standard base-pairing at the 3rd anti-codon position. The record is from RNAcentral. Lineage: Bacteria; Pseudomonadati; Candidatus Omnitrophota.
GGGCAGUUAGUUCAGCUGGCUAGAACGCUUCCUUGACAUGGAAGAGGUCACAGGUUCAAGUCCUGUACUGCCCACCA